RNAcentral lists this ribosomal RNA (1578 nucleotides) under Pristimantis galdi. RNAcentral's name for it is "partial 16S ribosomal RNA". It matches the Rfam family "Bacterial large subunit ribosomal RNA", at positions 379 to 2925 of the family's 2925-position model. Lineage: Eukaryota; Metazoa; Chordata; Amphibia; Anura; Strabomantidae. The record is from RNAcentral.
CCAAAAAUCUAGCCUCCCUCCCCCUCCUUCUUAAUAAAACUAAAAUAUUUUAGCAGUCUAGUAAAGAAGAUUAAAAAACUACUAAGAGCUAUAAAUUUGUACCGCAAGGGAAAGAUGAAAUAAAAAUGAAACAAAUCUAAAGCGCAAAAAAGUUGAGACUCACCCUCGUACCUUUUGCAUCAUGGUCUAGCUAGUCUAAUUAGGCAAAAAGACCUUAAGUCUAACCCCCCGAAACUAAGUGAGCUAUUUUAGGGCCGCUUAAUGAGCCCACCCGUCUAUGUUGCAAAAUAGUGGGGAGACCCUAAAAUAGAGGUGACAUGCCUAACGAACUUAGUGAUAGCUGGUUUCUCAAGAAAAGAAUUUAGUCCAACUUAAAAUGAUGCCAAACUCCCUAAUUACUCAUCCCACCAUUUUAAAGCAAUUCAAAUGAGGUACAGCCCAUUUGAUACAGGAUUCAACCUUCACUAACGGGUAAUAUUUUAUUCACACCUAGAAGUAGGCCUAAAAGCAGCCACCUUUUAAAAAGCGUCAAAGCCUAACCGUGUGCAUCUCAAUCCGCAAACCCCCAUUGACCCCUUUAACAGUACUGAGAACCUCUAUAGUAUUAUAGAAAUUUUUAUGCUAAAACUAGUAACAAGAGAUACCUCUCUCCUUAAUGCAAACAUAACCCAGCAAGAAUCAAUCACUGGCAAUUAACAGAAUUAAACAAAUGUAACAACUCACUAGAAAACCCUACUUCGUACUACACUGUUUACCUAACACCAGAGCAUUUCAAGAAAGAUUAAAAGAAAAAGAAGGAAUUCAGCAAAUAUAGCCUCGCCUGUUUACCAAAAACAUCGCCUCUUGUACCACAUAAGAGGUCCAGCCUGCCCACUGACUCUGUUUAACGGCCGCGGUAUCCUAACCGUGCAAAGGUAGCGUAAUCACUUGUCUUCUAAAUAAAGACCAGUAUGAAAGGCAUCACGAAGGCUAAACUGUCUCCUUUCUCUAAUCAGUGAACCUAAUCUCCCCGUGAAGAAGCGGGGAUUCUUAUAUAAAACGAGAAGACCCUAUGGAGCUUAAAACAUCAUAACCCCUGCCCCCCCCCCAUCUAGAGAUAUCCAGAUAUUUAUUUCCCCCCCCCGGGCACGAUGAUUAUAAGUUUUUGGUUGGGGUGACCGUGGAGAAAAACUAAUCCUCCACAAUGAACGGGGCCCCCCCCUAAACAACAAGUUACAACUUUAUGAAUCAACAUACUGACAUCCAUUGACCCAAUACUUGAUCAACGAACCAAGUUACCCUAGGGAUAACAGCGCAAUCCACUUUGAGAGUCCCUAUCUACAAGUGGGCUUACGACCUCGAUGUUGGAUCGGGAUAUCCUAGUGGUGCAGCCGCUACUAAGGGUUCGUUUGUUCAACGAUUAAAAUCCCACGUGAUCUGAGUUCAGACCGGAGCAAUCCAGGUCAGUUUCUAUCUAUACAAGAGCUUUUUUCAGUACGAAAGGACCAAAAUAGCAUGGCCAAUAUUUUUACAAGCCAUAAUUAGUCNNNNNNNACCCCAUCUCAAAAAUUAUUAAUCUACCCCAACACCUCAAGAAAA